Molecule: ribosomal RNA, 253 nt
Filed under: uncultured bacterium
Lineage: Bacteria
Description: partial 16S ribosomal RNA
Rfam family: Bacterial small subunit ribosomal RNA
Source: RNAcentral
UACAGAGGAGCCAAGCGUUGUCCGGAUUGACUGGGCGUAAAGCGCACGUAGGCGGCCCUGUAAGUCCGUUGUGAAAGUCAAAGGCUCAACCUUUGAAAGCCGAUGGAUACUGCAGGGCUAGAGUCCGGAAGAGGCGAGUGGAAUUCCUGGUGUAGCGGUGGAAUGCGCAGAUAUCAGGAGGAACACCAAUAGCGAAGGCAGCUCGCUGGGACGGUACUGACGCUAAGGCGCGAAAGCGUGGGGAGCGAACAGG